ACGUACUGGGAGUAACAAGAGGGAAACGUACUGAUAAUAACUGGANAAGUUAGUAUAUCGCAUGAUAUGCAAAUGAAAGCUACGGCACUAAAGGAGAGCUUUGCGUCCUAUUAGCUAGUUGGUAAGGUAAGAGCUUACCAAGGCGAUGAUAGGUAGCCGGCCUGAGAGGGUGGACGGCCACAAGGGGACUGAGAUACGGCCCUUACUCCUACGGGAGGCAGCAGCU
RNAcentral lists this ribosomal RNA (226 nucleotides) under uncultured Leptotrichia sp. RNAcentral describes it as "partial 16S ribosomal RNA". It matches the Rfam family "Bacterial small subunit ribosomal RNA", at positions 129 to 355 of the family's 1533-position model. The record is from RNAcentral. Lineage: Bacteria; Fusobacteriati; Fusobacteriota; Fusobacteriia; Fusobacteriales; Leptotrichiaceae.